Plectropomus leopardus (leopard coralgrouper) is the source of this 390-nucleotide non-coding RNA. Lineage: Eukaryota; Metazoa; Chordata; Actinopteri; Perciformes; Serranidae. The record is from RefSeq and is a predicted model, not a curated record.
UAUCCAGUCCUCCAGCUCUUCAGGAGUGGGCAGGUCCUCGUCAUUCGACAUGUCCAGCCACACGCUGUCCGCCUGGAACACAAGGAUCUCCAGGAACUCAUAGCCAUCUGAGGAUGACGAGAACAGAACCGUUCACCUUCAAAUACCACCGAAAGAACUGCAAAACCAAAAGCCGAUGAGGCGGAUGUCUUCCUCCAUCCUCUCGAAGGCUCGCAGCUCCAUGGCAGUAUUGAUCAUCUCCACUGGGUCCUCCAGCACCUACAGGGGGCAGUAUAACACAGAAACUCCACCAGCGUGUCUGCGGAGAGCUCCCCGUCAAACUCGAUGACACGGUCGUCCUUGAAGACGUACAAGCUGCCCACCUCCUCCAGACCUGAUGAAACAGCAGUU